AGGCGACGAUGCGUAGCCGACCUGAGAGGGUGAACGGCCACACUGGGACUGAGACACGGCCCAGACUCCUACGGGAGGCAGCAGUAGGGAAUCUUCCGCAAUGGGCGACAGCCUGACGGAGCAACGCCGCGUGAGUGAUGAAGGUUUUCGGAUCGUAAAGCUCUGUUGCCAGGGAAGAACGUCCGGUAGAGUAACUGUUACCGGAGUGACGGUACCUGAGAAGAAAGCCCCGGCUAACUAC
RNAcentral lists this ribosomal RNA (241 nucleotides) under uncultured bacterium. RNAcentral's name for it is "partial 16S ribosomal RNA". It matches the Rfam family "Bacterial small subunit ribosomal RNA", at positions 271 to 504 of the family's 1533-position model. The record is from RNAcentral.